GAUGAACGCUGGCGGCGUGCCUAAUACAUGCAAGUCGAGCGAACAGACGAGGAGCUUGCUCCUCUGACGUUAGCGGCGGACGGGUGAGUAACUCGUGGAUAACCUACCUAUAAGACUGGGAUAACUUCGGGAAACCGGAGCUAAUACCGGAUAAUAUAUUGAACCGCAUGGUUCAAUAGUGAAAGACGGUUUUGCUGUCACUUAUAGAUGGAUCCGCGCCGCAUUAGCUAGUUGGUAAGGUAACGGCUUACCAAGGCAACGAUGCGUAGCCGACCUGAGAGGGUGAUCGGCCACACUGGAACUGAGACACGGUCCAGACUCCUACGGGAGGCAGCAGUAGGGAAUCUUCCGCAAUGGGCGAAAGCCUGACGGAGCAACGCCGCGUGAAUGAUGAAGGUCUUCGGAUCGUAAAACUCUGUUAUUAGGGAAGAACAAAUGUGUAAGUAACUAUGCACGUCUUGACGGUACCUAAUCAGAAAGCCACGGCUAACUACGUG
Molecule: ribosomal RNA, 497 nt
Filed under: uncultured bacterium
Lineage: Bacteria
Description: partial 16S ribosomal RNA
Rfam family: Bacterial small subunit ribosomal RNA
Source: RNAcentral